This 433-nucleotide ribosomal RNA is filed under the name uncultured bacterium. Its description in RNAcentral is "partial 16S ribosomal RNA". It matches the Rfam family "Bacterial small subunit ribosomal RNA", at positions 29 to 507 of the family's 1533-position model. The record is from RNAcentral.
AGCGAACGCUGGCGGCAGGCCUAACACAUGCAAGUCGAACGAACUCUUCGGAGUUAGUGGCGGACGGGUGAGUAACACGUGGGAACGUGCCUUUAGGUUCGGAAUAACUCAGGGAAACUUGUGCUAAUACCGAAUGUGCCCUUCGGGGGAAAGAUUUAUCGCCUUUAGAGCGGCCCGCGUCUGAUUAGCUAGUUGGUGAGGUAAAGGCUCACCAAGGCGACGAUCAGUAGCUGGUCUGAGAGGAUGAUCAGCCACAUUGGGACUGAGACACGGCCCAAACUCCUACGGGAGGCAGCAGUGGGGAAUCUUGCGCAAUGGGCGAAAGCCUGACGAAGCCAUGCCGCGUGAAUGAUGAAGGUCUUAGGAUUGUAAAAUUCUUUCACCGGGGACGAUAAUGACGGUACCCGGAGAAGAAGCACCGGCUAACUUCGUG